UAUUACCCAUAUCAAAUAUGAGCGGGUUAAUUGUUUAUGUUUACCUAUUUUCAACCCACUCAUAUUUGAUCCAACCCGCCCAUUUGCCACCACUAUACUAAAUUAAAAUCUAUAAGUAUAUGUUAUCUAUAUUACAUGCAAGUGAUCAUGGCUAUUUGCUUUGGAAAAUGGACGCAUUAAUGACAUGUUUUAAAGUUGUAGGAGACUAGACUUAGAGUGAAUAAUAUUACUAACGGGUUAAAUCUUUUACAUAUAAUUUUAUUUUAAGCUCUUUCCGAUUUCCAACCAUCCACCCACUCACCCUCUACAAAAAGUAAGAAUAUAAAGCAGAAAAACAAAAUAAAACUAAAAUAAGGAGCAAUAUUAUUAUUAGUAUUGUUAAUAGUAUAAAGAUUAUUUAAUUAAGUGACAAAACAUCUGAGAAGCCAACCCAUAAUCUUGAUGAUCGAGCUACAUGUUGUGGAAUCAGGAGACAGGUCAAAAAGAAAGGUUAAAAAACAUUUUGUUUGAAAUUAAAAAAAAACAAAAAAAAAAAGAGACAUAGUUCAAAUAGUUGAAGAAAGAUUAUUGACCCUCAUUGAGAUUUCCCUUCCCUUUAUAAGUUGAUAGAGUAGCAAAAAAAAACACUAAAUUUUUAGCUUAGUAAUUUCUUGGAGCAAAAAGAUAAUACAUAUUUUUAUUAUAUAGUUCAUUUAUUAUUAUUAUCAAUAUGAAACCUUUAUCUAGCUUCUACUCUUUUGCUAUUAUCCUAGUAAUUUUGAUCUUCCAUUUGUUGUUUCUAGCUCAUGGUAGACAAGUUGUCACUAAUAAUGAUCUCAUAGUUGAUUCUUCUAAGGAUUCAAUGAAGAAGGGUGAAAAAGGUGGAUGUGGACAAGAUAGAGGUGAUUGCAAACAAGAAAAUGGUAAAGGUGGAGCAGAAGAGAAAUUGUUUGAGAAUGAAGACUAUAUCUAUACACAAUCUCUUCCAUAGGUGAAAGCUUCUCUUUUUUUUUAAUUUUUUUGUUUGUUUGUUUUGGCUUUAACUUUGUAACAUAGAUUUUUCUCUGUUCAUCAAACGAAUUGAGUAGGAUUUUGCAACUUUUGAUUUAGAAUGUAUGAUAAUUUGUUGGUCAAUGGAAAAAUUUAACUUUCCUCCUA
This is a long non-coding RNA of Solanum lycopersicum (tomato), 1137 nucleotides long. RefSeq lists it as uncharacterized. The record is from RefSeq and is a predicted model, not a curated record. NCBI's taxonomy places the organism in Eukaryota, Viridiplantae, Streptophyta, Magnoliopsida, Solanales, Solanaceae.